This 238-nucleotide unclassified non-coding RNA is filed under the name fungal sp. Its description in RNAcentral is "partial contains small subunit ribosomal RNA, internal transcribed spacer 1, and 5.8S ribosomal RNA". The stretch from base 1 to 46 matches the Rfam family "Eukaryotic small subunit ribosomal RNA", at positions 1786 to 1831 of the family's 1831-position model. Lineage: Eukaryota; Fungi. The record is from RNAcentral. RNAcentral also lists the same sequence under 1 other name.
AAGUCGUAACAAGGUUUUCGUAGGUGAACCUGCGGAAGGAUCAUUAAUGAAUUCGGGCGCUCGACUCUGAAAUAUUGAGAUCGGCCCCAUUUCUUAAUCCACUUCACACUUGUGCACAUUUUUCCUACUUUCCUUCGGGAGAGUUUGAAAAGCUCUUGUGAUUUUAAUCAAGUCCAGGAUGUGAAUCCAAUUUGAAUAAGUUGUAAAACAACUACAAACGGUGGAUCUCUUGGCUCUC